This 484-nucleotide ribosomal RNA is filed under the name uncultured bacterium. RNAcentral's name for it is "partial 16S ribosomal RNA". It matches the Rfam family "Bacterial small subunit ribosomal RNA", at positions 30 to 507 of the family's 1533-position model. The record is from RNAcentral.
AUUGAACGCUGGCGGCAGGCCUAACACAUGCAAGUCGAGCGGAUGAAGGGAGCUUUCUCCUGGAUUCAGCUGCGGACUGGUGAGUAAUGCCUAGGAAUCUGCCUGGUAGUGGGGGAUAACGUCCGUAAACGGGCGCUAAUACCGCAUACGGCCUGAGGGAGAAAGUGGGGGAUCUUCGGACCUCACGCUAUCAGAUGAGCCUAGGUCGGAUUAGCUAGUUGGUGGGGGAAAGGCCUACCAAGGCGACGAUCCGUAACUGGUCUGAGAGGAGGAUCAGUCAGAUUGGAACUGAGACACGGUCCAGACUCCUACGGGAGGCAGCAGUGGGGAAUAUUGGAGAAUGGGCGAAAGCCUGAUACAGCAAUGCCGGGUGUGUGAAGAAGGUCUUCGGAUUGUAAAGCAAUUUAAGUUGGGAGGAAGGGCAGUAAGUUAAUACCUUGCUGUUUUGACGUUACCCACAGAAUAAGCACCGGCUAACUUCGUG